AUGGAACGCCUGCCGGAGGAGCUCCUCGUGCGUGUGGUCUCGCUCACGUCGCCGCUGGACGCCUGCCGCGCGGCCGCUGUCUCCCGGGCCUUCCGCGCCGCAGCGGACUCCGACGCCGUCUGGUCCUUCUUCCUGCCCCGUAACCUCCCGCGGUUCGCCAAAGGCGAGCUCCCCCGCACGCAGCCGUCGAGCAAGAAGGAGCUGUUCCGACGCCUCUCCGACCAGCCAGCUCUCCUCCCACACAAAUUAGUGAGCAUGCAGCUGGACAAGGCUACCGGCGCCCAGUGCUUCACGAUUUCGGCGAGGGCGCUACUGAUUCCGCGGUGCAAGGGCUCGCACCGGGUCAGUUUAUGUGCACUUUCGAACUGCAGCAAACAAGACAAAAGGUUCUUCUCCGAAGACGCUCGGUUCUAUCGUAUCAAUGAGUUGGAGAUCCGGGGCAAGAUACAGACGAAGAUGCUCUCACAAAGCACAACAUAUGCCGUAUACUUGGUGUUCAAGCUAGCAUAUGUAUACAAUGAGUUCGAUUUCCCAUACGAGGUGGCUUCCGUUGGUGUUGCCGGGAGAGAGUCGACCCGGCAAGUUUGUGUGCAAGGUUGCAGAGGGAGUCUUAGUUGUGACGCAAAUCCUCCCAGAGAGGAAGUUCAUUUCCCUCAUGAAAAAGACGAUGGUUGGAUGGAGGUGGAGUUGGGUGAGUUCCGUAACGAGGAGUGCGACGGUGGUGACGAGGUGUCCAUCAGCUUCAUGGGAGAAAGCAAGUCUGGUCUUACCGUGCUGGGCAUUGAGCUCAGAACUACGCCACUGCUGCCGGAGGACCUCCUGGUGCACGUGAUCUCGCUCACCUCGCCGGCGGACGCCUUCCGCGCCACCGCUGUGUCCAGGGCCUUCCACGCCGCCGCCGACUCAGACACGGUCUGGUCCCGCCUCCUGCCGCGCGACCUCCUGCAGUUCGCCAGGAGAGAGAUCCCCCGCAAGCCGCCGUCGACCAAGAAGGGGAUGUUCCGGCGCCUCUCCGGCGAACCAGCCCUCCUCCCGGCCAAGUACGUGCGCAUGCAGCUGGACAAGGCCACCGGCGCCAAGUGCUUCACGCUGUCGGCCAGUGCGCUGCAAGCUAAUGAUUCUCAUACGCCCUUGAUACGUGUAGGUACAGUCCCGGGCUACAGCAAAAGAGGCAAAAGGUUCUCAGAAGCAGGGGAACUCGGCUAUGGCAUACUGAAGAUACGUGCCAAGAUACAGAAAAACAUGCUCUCUCAAAACACAACCUAUGUGGCAUACAUGGUGCUCAAGCUAGGGCCUAGAUUUCACGGGUUCGAUUUCCCGUUUCAAGAAGCUUCAUUUGGCGUUGCUGGGAGCGAGUCGGUCCGGAAGGUUUGCCUGCAAGGCUAUGUCGAGGACGCUGACAAGGCCGAUGAUCCACCUCGGAAACACAUCAUGCCAAGUUAUUAUCUUAAUCGUGACGCGGUUCCUCCUGGAGAUGACGUUGUUUUCCCUCGUAAGACAGCCGACGAUUGGAUGGAGGUGGAGUUUGGUGAGUUCCAUAAUAAGGGAGGUGACGGUGACGUCUCCAUCAGCUUGACCGAGACGACAGAACCCAAGAGUGGCCUUAUUGUCUGGGGCAUUGUGAUAAGAAGUAAGCAAACAAAUCAAAAAAAGAAAAAAGAAGUAAGCAAGAAAGGCAAGUAA
This 1683-nucleotide ribosomal RNA is filed under the name Triticum aestivum (bread wheat). Its description in RNAcentral is "partial small subunit ribosomal RNA". The record is from RNAcentral. Lineage: Eukaryota; Viridiplantae; Streptophyta; Magnoliopsida; Poales; Poaceae.